This is a long non-coding RNA of Lampris incognitus (smalleye Pacific opah), 748 nucleotides long. RefSeq lists it as uncharacterized. The transcript is spliced from 3 exons. Lineage: Eukaryota; Metazoa; Chordata; Actinopteri; Lampriformes; Lampridae. The record is from RefSeq and is a predicted model, not a curated record.
GAUGGUCUCACCUAUGCCUCCGUCUCCUUCUCUAAGAAGAAGAAGCAGAGCAGGGCUGAAGGACAGGGUCUGGGUGGUGAUGAUGAUGAUGAAGAAGUGACGUAUCACACUGUGAGAGCUCCUCCUUCCUCUGCCGCGGUCUCUGAUGAUGCCAGUGUCCUCUACGCCACUGUCAACACACACACACAACAUGGGAAAAACUAGAAGAAGCGAGACGCCACUCUUCCACGUGCUGUCCACGCCUCGUGGGUCACAGGGCUCGCUGCUCCCUUCUCUUGGGGAAGGAAUCCAGCACACAAAGACCAACCGGAGAACCCGGGCAAAGAAAGAAAACAGGUCUCCAAGCAAGCAAUCCUCUCCAAUCCAAACGGCAUUAAUUAACUUAAACUGGUAAACUUAAAGGAGUAAAGGUAACAAAGGCAUAAAUGUUGUAUCUCUGUUCCAGCUUCUGCGAGUUGGGCUUUUGUUCCUUCGUCUGCAGCUCAAGAAAAGUCUGCAGUUAAUCUGUUUCAACUCUCGUUCUGAUCUGACAAGGCCUGGCAAUUGUCCAUUUGGACAGGCUGCUAGCGCCCUCUACAGGGGACUGCGGGGACAUGCAUUAACUCUUUCUAGGGCAGCUAAAAUCAUGGGGGUUACAUUUAUCGUUUAGCAUAUGCCUACAGCAUUUCACAAAGUUGAAUACAUCUGCACAUCUCAUAAAGUUAACACAACGUGUUUAUGUGUGAACACAGCCUCUGUGUUUUUGAAC